RNAcentral lists this ribosomal RNA (924 nucleotides) under uncultured archaeon. RNAcentral's name for it is "bacterial SSU rRNA". It matches the Rfam family "Archaeal small subunit ribosomal RNA", at positions 1 to 903 of the family's 1478-position model. The record is from RNAcentral.
UUCCGGUUGAUCCUGCCGGACCCCACUGCUAUCGGGGUGGGACUAAAACAUGCAAGUCGAGCGCCUCCAAGCUAUGGUGAGGGCGCGGCAAACGGCUCAGUAACACGUGGCCAACCUACCCUUGGGACGGAGACAACCCCGGGAAACUGGGGCUAAUCCCCGAUAGGUGAGGAAUCCUGGAAUGGACCCUCGCCCAAAAGACGUUGAGUCCAUGCUAUUCAGCGUCGCCCAAGGAUGGAGCCGCGACCGAUCAGGUAGUUGGUGAGGCAACGGCUCACCAAGCCUAUAACCGGUACGGGCCGUGAGAGCGGGAGCCCGGAGAUGGGCACUGAGACAAGGGCCCAGGCCCUACGGGGCGCAGCAGUUGCGAAAACUCCGCAAUGCGCGAAAGCGUGACGGGGCUACCCCGAGUGCCGCCCGUUGAGGGCGGCUUUUCCACGGUGUAAGGAGCCGUGGGAAUAAGGAGAGGGCAAGACUGGUGUCAGCCGCCGCGGUAAUACCAGCUCUCCGAGUGGUGGGGACGAUUAUUGGGCUUAAAGCGUUCGUAGCCGGCUUAACAAGUCUUCCGUUAAAUCCAACGAUCUAAUCGUUGGGCUGCGGGAGAUACUGUUGGGCUAGGAGGCGGGAGAAGCCGACGGUAUUCUCGGGGUAGGGGUGAAAUCCUGUAAUCCCGGGAGGACCACCAGUGGCGAAGGCGGUCGGCUAGAACGCGCUCGACGGUGAGGGACGAAAGCUGGGGGAGCGAACCGGAUUAGAAACCCGGGUAGUCCCAGCUGUAAACGAUGCGGGCUAGGUGUUGGGGUGGCCACGAGCCACUUCAGUGCCGCAUGGAAAGCAAUUAAGCCCGCUGCCUGGGGAGUACGGUCGCAAGGCUGAACUUAAAAGGAAUUGGCGGGGAGCACACAGGCGUGAAGCUUGCGUUUA